GAGCCUCCACCCUCCACCCUCCACUCUCAUCUCUCGCACUCAGUUCCCACGCCUCGAGUCUCCACCUUGAGCUUCCGGCGCAACCUCCGUCCAGCCACCGCAGCCGUCGCAAGUUCCGUGGAAGUCACUCACCGUCGCAAGUUCUUUGGAGAUUCGCACAGCCCUUUCCAUCGAGAAGUCAUCCGUGGAAAUCGCAGCCACCGCCACCACUCCUUGUCGUCGCGAGUGUCUUCCUGCUGGCGCCUGCUCUGUUUUACCCUUCCACCCCAGUCACUGUCCCUGUCGCCGCCAGCUCUACAUUCUUCCCUGUCUUCCACUAACCCUAGUUAGUUAGUGAGGACUAUUUCACACAAAAAAAUAUUAGUUGUUGAAGGAUCUCACUGGAAAAUAAAUUUGUGUGGCCAUUCAUUGACACAUUAUUGCACAGAGGAAAAUCUAUUGUUGAAGGAUCUCACAUGUUUGGUUCUUAGGGAAGAAGAUUUUGAAGAAAACAACUUCUUUAUGUGGAUUUGGCUGAAGAAGUUUUCUAAUAUUGUUUAAUUUUGAGUAGUAUUUGAUUGUUGUUAAUUUGAAACUGACUUGAAGCAAUUGUAAGUAUUAUGUUAGCAUCAAUGACAUUGUUUAUAUGUUUAUAUCAUUA
Arachis duranensis is the source of this 640-nucleotide long non-coding RNA. RefSeq lists it as uncharacterized. The transcript is spliced from 2 exons. The record is from RefSeq and is a predicted model, not a curated record. Lineage: Eukaryota; Viridiplantae; Streptophyta; Magnoliopsida; Fabales; Fabaceae.